Molecule: transfer RNA, 73 nt
Filed under: Camelus bactrianus (Bactrian camel)
Lineage: Eukaryota; Metazoa; Chordata; Mammalia; Artiodactyla; Camelidae
Also listed under: 2 other names
Rfam family: tRNA
About the family: Transfer RNA (tRNA) molecules are approximately 80 nucleotides in length. Their secondary structure includes four short double-helical elements and three loops (D, anti-codon, and T loops).
Source: Rfam by way of RNAcentral
GAGGGUAUAGCUCAAGUGGCAGAGCACAUGCUUAGCAUGCUCCAGGUCCUGGGUUCAAUCCCCAGUGCCUCUU